GACGAACGCUGGCGGCGUGCUUAACACAUGCAAGUCGAACGGAAAGGCCCUGCUUUUGUGGGGUGCUCGAGUGGCGAACGGGUGAGUAACCCGUGAGUAACCUGCCCUUGACUUUGGGAUAACUUCAGGAAACUGGGGCUAAUACCGGAUAGGAGCUCCUGCUGCAUGGUGGGGGUUGGAAAGUUUCGGCGGUUGGGGAUGGACUCGCGGCUUAUCAGCUUGUUGGUGGGGUAGUGGCUUACCAAGGCUUUGACGGGUAGCCGGACUGAGAGGGUGACCGGCCACAUUGGGACUGAGAUACGGCCCAGACUCCUACGGGAGGCAGCAGUGGGGAAUAUUGCACAAUGGGCGGAAGCCUGAUGCAGCAACGCCGCGUGCGGGAUGACGGCCUUCGGGUUGUAAACCGCUUUCGCCUGUGACGAAGCGUGAGUGACGGUAAUGGGUAAAGAAGCACCGGCUAACUACGUG
RNAcentral lists this ribosomal RNA (468 nucleotides) under uncultured bacterium. Its description in RNAcentral is "partial 16S ribosomal RNA". It matches the Rfam family "Bacterial small subunit ribosomal RNA", at positions 28 to 507 of the family's 1533-position model. The record is from RNAcentral.